AACGCACAUUGCGCCCCUGGGAAUUCCCAGGGGCAUGCCUGUUCGAGCGUCCGUAACAACCUCUCAAGCCUGGCUUGGUCUUGGGACACGCUGCUCUGGCGGCGGUCCUUAAAAGCAGUGGCGGGCCUAUGUAACUCUCCGCGUAGUAAUAUAUAUCUCGCGAUAGAGAAGCAGAAGGACUUGCCAAAAAUCCUUAAUUGCUCAGGUUGACCUCGAAUCAGGUAGGGAUACCCGCUGAACUUAA
This 244-nucleotide unclassified non-coding RNA is filed under the name uncultured Blumeria. RNAcentral describes it as "sequence contains ITS2". The record is from RNAcentral. Lineage: Eukaryota; Fungi; Ascomycota; Leotiomycetes; Helotiales; Erysiphaceae.